GAUGAAGAACGCAGCGAAAUGCGAUAAGUAAUGUGAAUUGCAGAAUUCAGUGAAUCAUCGAAUCUUUGAACGCACAUUGCGCCCGCCAGUAUUCUGGCGGGCAUGCCUGUUCGAGCGUCAUUACAACCCUCAGGCCCCCGGGCCUGGCGUUGGGGAUCGGCGGAGCCCCCCGUGGGCACACGCCGUCCCCCAAAUACAGUGGCGGUCCCGCCGCAGCUUCCAUCGCGUAGUAGCUAACACCUCGCGACUGGAGAGCGGCGCGGCCACGCCGUAAAACACCCAACUCUUCUGAAGUUGACCUCGAAUCAGGUAGGACUACCCGCUGAACUUAAGCAUAUCAAUAAGCGGAGGA
RNAcentral lists this unclassified non-coding RNA (352 nucleotides) under soil metagenome. RNAcentral's name for it is "partial contains 5.8S ribosomal RNA, internal transcribed spacer 2, and large subunit ribosomal RNA". The stretch from base 1 to 120 matches the Rfam family "5.8S ribosomal RNA", at positions 35 to 154 of the family's 154-position model. The record is from RNAcentral.